AUUAAACUGAAGAGUUUGAUCCUGGCUCAGAUUGAACGCUGGUGGCAUGCUUAACACAUGCAAGUCGAACGGUAACAGGUCUUAGGAUGCUGACGAGUGGCGGACGGGUGAGUAACGCGUAGGAAUCUGCCCAUUUGAGGGGGAUACCAGUUGGAAACGACUGUUAAUACCGCAUAAUAUCUGUGGAUUAAAGGUGGCUUUCGGGCUGUCGCAGAUGGAUGAGCCUGCGUUGGAUUAGCUAGUUGGUGGGGUAAGGGCCCACCAAGGCUACGAUCCAUAGCUGAUUUGAGAGGAUGAUCAGCCACAUUGGGACUGAGACACGGCCCAAACUCCUACGGGAGGCAGCAGUGGGGAAUAUUGGACAAUGGGGGCAACCCUG
Molecule: ribosomal RNA, 379 nt
Filed under: Francisella tularensis
Lineage: Bacteria; Pseudomonadati; Pseudomonadota; Gammaproteobacteria; Thiotrichales; Francisellaceae
Description: bacterial SSU rRNA
Rfam family: Bacterial small subunit ribosomal RNA
Source: RNAcentral